Molecule: transfer RNA, 74 nt
Filed under: Rasbora spilotaenia
Lineage: Eukaryota; Metazoa; Chordata; Actinopteri; Cypriniformes; Danionidae
Description: tRNA-Leu
Rfam family: tRNA
About the family: Transfer RNA (tRNA) molecules are approximately 80 nucleotides in length.
Source: RNAcentral
GCUAGGAUGGCAGAGCCUGGUUACUGCAAAAGGCCUAAGCCCUUUGAACAGAGGUUCAAAUCCUCUCCCUAGCU